AUGAAUAAAUUUAAGCUUUCGGUUUCUAAAAUAACUCUAGCUCAUGUUUUUCUCAUUAUUCAUAUAAGAAAAAGCUUUACAUCUCUAAACACUUUCUCACACUCUUCCGUCCAGUCGAACUUGGUGGAAUUUUUUAUAGUCGUGAAGAAAUGUAUGGAUUUAUCACCAUCACAUGAUAGAAAUCUGGAUAAGGCGGCUAACCUCCCGGUCAUCUGUUGA
Non-coding RNA from Vicia faba (fava bean), 219 nucleotides. Lineage: Eukaryota; Viridiplantae; Streptophyta; Magnoliopsida; Fabales; Fabaceae. The record is from the annotation of a GenBank genome assembly.